UUGAAGGCCGUACAAUGACCUAUAGUUGUUAACUUCUAUGUCAUUUGUUCUCUGGUGGAGAGUAGUCUGAUUUGCAAUUAUACUACAUCUUUUUAUCUUAAGUUAUAUUUCCCAAUGAAACAAAUUCUAUUCAUAUCGAUCAAAGCUUAAGAUUUAUUAGAUUUUUUCAGGUUUUUUUUUAUUUUGAAGAGAACAUUACAUUUUGGAAACCUUAAGUGAAAAUAUCUUGGCGAUAUUUUCAUUUUGAGUUCUGUGUUCAUUCAUUUCUUAAUGUAUCAAUUAACUGCAUGGGCUGUGUGAAACAAUUAGUCAUUUGACAGUUCACAUGAAGUGAUUUUAAUUUUUUGCACGAGUAAAUUCUAUAGUUUUGCGAUAUUAUUUCUGUGUUUAUGAGGCAGCGAACCGAGUAACGUACUCAUGUCAUCUCGAAAGAAUAGCUACAUGUGUAUUCAUACAAACCUGAUCAACUGAUCUGAAAUAUCCUGACAGAUGUUUUGUAUAUUAACAACAAGUCAUUCGAUAACCUGAUGUGUGACAGUUUUAAAAGGACAAUUAGGAUGACUUAAGACAAUGUCUGACUGCUGUAAACAACAUAUUAAGUGUAUUGGGUUUGUAUUGGUACUGGUUUUAUUUAUUGGUUUGAUAAUUGGCAUGUCCAAUGUGCUUCACAACAAGAAAGACGUUAAAGAACGUAAACCAGUAUUCCAACAACAACGUCAGGCGUCUUCGACAUCGUUCCUUGGCAGUAUCGUUGGUCAACCACCAAAAUGUCGACUCAAAUGGACAAAUACCAGCACUAACUCCUUUAUAAAAUACGAUCAACAGAUGGAUAGAUUUAUUGUGAGAGAAAGUGGCAUUCUACUUUUUUGGCUGUCAUUACAAAUUGAUUACAAGAACAUGGGAAAAGACACGAUUUAUUCUGCGUGUGUUGAAUACAGCAAUGAUAAUUAUAAAUGCACGGCCACAAUUUUUAAGAACUUGGAUGCUGGAACUCUUCAAGUAAAAGAUAAACUUUUUGUACUUCCGGGAUUUUAUUUUACAGUUAACGUUGAUUACACGUUUUUAAUAAAUAGAACUGAAAGCUCAAAUAUCUUAGUGAUAGAAAAAUCCUUCAACGGUGGAUUGGGGAUCCAAAGCAAUUAUACUACAAAGUAUCAUUAAUUAUCAGAAAUCAUAAGUUUUGGUUUAAAAACGCACAAAUACUAACAUGAUAUUAUAUUUCCUAUUUUAAUGCACGUAGAUCACUUUUUACCUGUCUAAAUUAAUUAAUUUCAUAUUUUUGGUAUAUUUUCUGCAUUAGGUAAAUUUGUGCUGUGGCGUCUGUUUUUUUUUUAUAGAAUAUUGCAAAUUAAAAUAAAAAAGAAAGGUAAUAUAUUUCAUGGCAAAAUCAGUACCUUAUGCUUGCCGAUUGUUGUAACUGCAGUUAAGUCAAUCCUUUCUCUUUAAAGACCCAUAGAUAAGGUCGUUCUUCAAUAAGAAUUUCAACAUACAUUUUACUUUUUGGCUCGGAAAGACUACCUGUCCAUCAAUACACAUUUCUUUAUAUAAUAUAAAGCGAUGCAAAGCUUCAUUUAAUAUCUCACAACUACAAUCUACAACCUAUAAUCACACCUCCCUUCUGAAGAAAUAUUUCUAUAAAAGUGUAAUAUUUCUCCACCUUUUUUUUUUCUUCCCAAGAACUAGCUUUUUAUGUAUAUAUAACAACAUAUAUGAAAUCAAGUAAUGAUUUUCGCUAAGUUUAUUGUAAUUACUUUUUGUCUGCCUAUCAGCGUGUAUAUAAAGUGUUUAACUGUAUUACAUUUUAAUUUAUGGAAAUGGAUGUAUAUAGGAGUACUGUUCGUGUUUUAUUAUACAAUUUUUAAAAUACUUGUACACUUCAUUCUUCUAUUAUUUGUACAUGAUGAGUUUAAUAACAAAAUAUUUUUACACAU
Long non-coding RNA from Mytilus californianus (California mussel), 1931 nucleotides. RefSeq lists it as uncharacterized. The record is from RefSeq and is a predicted model, not a curated record. Lineage: Eukaryota; Metazoa; Mollusca; Bivalvia; Mytilida; Mytilidae. The transcript has 2 exons.